GAGGUAAUGGCCCACCAAACCUGUAACCGGUACGGGCUCUGAGAGGAGGAGCCCGGAGAUGGGUACUGAGAAAAGGACCCAGGCCCUAUGGGAUGCAGCAGGCGCGAAACCUCUGCAAUAGGCGAAAGCCUGACAAGGUUACUCUGAGUGACUUUCGCUAAGAAAGACUUUUGACACCUCUAAAAAUGGUGGAGAAUAAGGGGUGGGCAAGUCUGGUGUCAGCCGCCGCGGUAAUACCAGCACCCCGAGUGGUCGGGACGAUUAUUGGGCCUAAAGCAUCCGUAGCCGGUUUUACAAGUCCUCCGUUAAAUCCAACUGCUUAACAGAUGGGCUGCGGAGGAUACUAUCAGACUAGGAGGCAGGAGAGGCAAGCGGUACUCAGUGGGUAGGGGUAAAAUCCGCUGAUCCAUUGAAGACCACCAGUGGCGAAGGCGGCUUGCCAGAAUGCGCUCGACGGUGAGGGAUGAAAGCUGGGGGAGCAAACCGGAUUAGAUACCCGGGUAGUCCCAGCUGUAAACGAUGCAGACUCGGUGAUGGACUAGCUUAGUGCUAGUCCAGUGCCGCAGGGAAGCCGUUAAGUCUGCCGCCUGGGUAGUACGGUCGCAAGACUGAAACUUAAAGGAAUUGGCGGGGGGAGCACUACAAGGGGGUGAAGCCUGCGGUUCAAUUGGA
RNAcentral lists this ribosomal RNA (672 nucleotides) under uncultured archaeon. RNAcentral describes it as "bacterial SSU rRNA". It matches the Rfam family "Archaeal small subunit ribosomal RNA", at positions 238 to 910 of the family's 1478-position model. The record is from RNAcentral.